UUUUUUGUUUGUGUUUGAGCUACUGAUUCACUGUUUUUAUAUACAAAUUUUAGAUCCCGCAUUUCUUUCGAUCUGCUGUGUGUGGAAAGGUCCACAUUGACGGUCCCGGUAAGGCCUAUUACAACUUCUUUGUUAUCAGAAAAGGACAACGUCAGUGUCACCUCCUGUCCUUCCUCUGCCCACAGAUCUGCGUGUGGUUUUCUCUUGGAAAGACAUAACCUAGUUCCCAGCCCCACAGGAUGCUGGCACCCCUGAGAAGGACACUGGGGAUCAAACAGCCUGGCUGUCUGCGUUAUACAUGUGGGGAAGUGACAAACUGAAGCAAAGGGACACUGUCAUGUUAAAUGUUUGGAUGGGCUUUGUACUUCCUUUGCCUUUCUUGAGGUAUGCUUUUAUUGUUAUCAUUUUUAUGGUUUAAAAAGAUCUGAAUUAAAGAAAAAAGGGUCUGAACCAGAGCAGAAUUUGCUCUGCUCAAAAUUGGUGCAGAAGGCAGCAAGAUUUCUUUCUUAUGCUCUGCAAACCAGGGAGCUACUAACUCCAAAGUGGGAGGAAAUCUAUCCACAUCCAAUGCCAACUACAAAUAGUGGCCCUCAUUCCUGGAAACAGGCUUCAAAUUGGACCCUGAUGACACCAAAUGAAAAGGAUGCAAAAAUAGUUGAAGUGAAAGCUUCCUUUGUGCACACCUGUGCAAGUCUUUGAUAUUCUCUUGAGUGAUAAUGUCUCCAAGGAACAAAUUUUGGCAUUAAAUUAAAU
Molecule: long non-coding RNA, 753 nt
Filed under: Chinchilla lanigera (long-tailed chinchilla)
Lineage: Eukaryota; Metazoa; Chordata; Mammalia; Rodentia; Chinchillidae
Description: lncRNA (ENSCLAG00000023872.1)
Source: RNAcentral